Molecule: RNA transcript, 1841 nt
Organism: Rhinopithecus roxellana (golden snub-nosed monkey)
Lineage: Eukaryota; Metazoa; Chordata; Mammalia; Primates; Cercopithecidae
Gene: PSTK
Gene name: phosphoseryl-tRNA kinase
Exons: 7
Source: RefSeq, a predicted model, not a curated record
CUGGGCGAGAGAGUGAGACCCUGUCUCAAAAAACAAAAAACUAUUAUCUGAAUUCAAUUUUUCUACAACACACCCCAAACAAAAAAACUUGUUUUAUACUUCUCCAUAGCUUAGUAUUACUUUUUAACACAAACACCUAUUCUCUGCCUGCAUGCACUGGAAUUGAGGUCUAUGGAUGCCUUUCCUGACCAUAUUUCUUCACGCUUGCUGCCCACUAGUGGCGUGAGGGCACAAUAACGAAUGUUUACUUUGCCCUUGGACUGUUCACAUCUGGGAACCGCAAAGGAGUGCGGUGGUCGGACUGUCAGCCUCGCCUCCUAUUGUUUGAUUUCCAGCAACUUAUUUUCUAAAGAUUGCUGGAGGUUCAACGUCUCUUCUGGGAUUUUCCUGAGCAGAAAGACCUCAUCCUAAUAAAACUGAGGCGCCAAUCCUGCUGGCUGGCAACUUUAGACAGGGAGGGUGAUUCUAUCUGAAGAUUAAUCCUAACUCUGGAACUCCUUGGGAAUGUCCAGGAGCUAGGAACGCAGUGUCCUCGGGAGCAGCAGGGCGCCAGUGGAGCAGGUGCCUCUGGGGCCGCACGGAAACCCAGCCAUGCCAGUUCCUCUACUGCGCCGGCAGGCGGCGGAGAGGCUGCGCAUGCGCGCUGGGCAGACGGUGGCCCGGAGACGACUCUCCCAGCCUCCUCCGGUCUCCCUGGGCAGCAUGAAGACCGCCGAGAACACCAGAGGAACCUGCAGCGACGGGCCGCGGAAACGAGUCCUCUGCGUCCUCUGCGGCCUCCCCGCGGCAGGAAAAUCGACUUUCGCACGCGCCCUCGCCCACCGGCUGCGGCAGGAACAGGGUUGGGCCGUUGGUGUCGUCGCGUAUGAUGAUGUCAUGCCCGACGCGUUUCUGGCCGGGGCAAGAGCGCGACCGGCGCCAUCCCAAUGGAAAUUGCUUCGACAGGAACUGUUGAAGUACCUGGAAUACUUCUUAAUGGCUGUCAUUAAUGGGUGUCAGAUGUCUGUCCCACCCAGCAGGACUGAAGCCAUGUGGGAAGAUUUUAUAACCUGCCUAAAGGAUCAAGAUCUGAUAUUUUCUGCAGCAUAUGAGGCCCAGUCUUGCUACCUCUUAACAAAAACUGCUGUUUCUAGACCUUUGUUUUUGGUUUUGGAUGACAAUUUUUAUUAUCAGAGUAUGAGAUAUGAAGUCUACCAGCUGGCUCGGAAAUAUUCACUGGGCUUUUGCCAGCUGUUUUUAGACUGUCCUCUUGAGACCUGUUUACAGAGGAAUGGCCAGAGGCCACGGGCACUGCCUCCUGAGACCAUCCACCUGAUGGGAAGAAAGCUAGAAAAGCCCAACCCUGAGAAAAAUGCUUGGGAACACAACAGCCUCACAAUUCCGAGUCCAUCAUGUGCUUCGGAGGCCAGCCUGGAGGUGACUGAUUUAUUGCUCACUGCUUUGGAAAAUCCAGUAAAAUAUGCUGAGGACGAUAUGGAACAAAAGGAGACAGAUAGAAUUAUUUGUUCAACUAACGUUCUUCAUAAAGCUGAUCAGACACUCCGAAGGAUUGUAUCUCAGACAAUGAAGGGAGCAAAAGGGUAAUCAGGAAGGCUUCUCAGAGAUGACAUUUAAGCAAAGAUGGGAAAGAGCGAACCAUGCAGAUAUCUGGAGGAUCAUUCUAGGCAAUGAACACAUCAAGUGCAGAAGCCCAGAGGUUGGUUGGAGUGUUGUGGAAUAGAGAAGAGGCCAUUGAGCAUGGGGUGAGAUGAACAAGUGCUUCCUCACAACUUGAAGCUUCUAGCAGAAGAACUUAACAAGCUCAAAGCAGAGUUUUUGGAAGACCUAAAACAAGGCAACAA